CCUACGGGUGGCAGCAGUGGGGAAUAUUGCACAAUGGGGGAAACCCUGAUGCAGCGACGCCGCGUGAGUGAAGAAGUAAUUCGUUAUGGAAAGCUCUAUCAGCAGGGAAGAAAAUGACGGUACCUGAGCAAGAAGCCCCGGCUAACGACGUGCCAGCAGCCGCGGUAAUACGUAGGGUGCAAGCGUUAUCCGGAUUUACUGGGUGUAAAGGGAGCGUAGACGGCAGUGCAGGUCUGGAGUGAAAGGCGGGGGCUCAACCCCCGGACUGCUCUGGAAACUGUACGGCUGGAGUGCAGGAGAGGUAAGUGGAAUUCCUAGUGUAGCGGUGAAAUGCGUAGAUAUUAGGAGGAACACCAGUGGCGAAGGCGGCUUACUGGACUGUAACUGACGUUGAGGCUCGAAAGCGUGGGGAGCAAACAGGAUUAGAUACCCCGGUAGUC
This 440-nucleotide ribosomal RNA is filed under the name uncultured bacterium. RNAcentral's name for it is "partial 16S ribosomal RNA". It matches the Rfam family "Bacterial small subunit ribosomal RNA", at positions 338 to 795 of the family's 1533-position model. The record is from RNAcentral.